CAUGGUCUGACUGCCCCUACCAGGCCCCAGCCCAACAACAGUCGCACUCCACUCCAAGCCUCCAGGUCCGCUCUCCCAGACACUCAGCUGUACCAAGGGCUCGUUCCCCUCGUGCUGCUCUGGGACAUGCUUCCCCUCGCUCGGCUCUGGGGACUAAUACCCCGAACGCUGCUCCAGGACUGCUAAAAUGAGAGAGAAAAUAAAAAGAAACAAAAGAACCAGCAGAGCAAAGGAGCUCCGGGUGGAGCAUGCUUCUCUGCCGUCAUCUUGCCGACACGAAUAUACACACCUCUGCCAUUCUAUGGGAAAAGGUUGUUAGAAUCUCAAUGAGUUAAACAGAAAUGAAGGCGGGCUGCUCACAUCCUGGGUCUGAGUGUUCAGAUGCUCUUCGCCAAUAACCUCUUGGUUAGGAACCAGAGAAGGUACCCUGUCACCAACUUGGCCAAGCUUGACUACUGGGGCAUGGGACAACAUACUGGCUCCUGACUCGCGGAUGGGGAAAGGGCUGUGGAUGAGCAUUUUGUGUGGCAUUCCCACUUGAACAUUCCUUCCUGCCACCUUCCCUCUGAUGGAUUCGCUGCGUUUCACUGUGUGCAGUCCGCUGAUGCAAAUCAGUGAGGGAAGGUCAAGAUUGAAGUGUGGGUUAUCCUGUUUAAGAUGACAGAUACUUUGAAUCCAGAAUCUCAAUGGUUGUUAUCAAGAUCUGUAUGGAUUUAAAUGAUUACUUUAAUUGAUGUUCUCCCAUUUGGCCAUGCUAGGAGGAAGACUUCCUUUGUGAUACUCAACGUCACCAACCCACUCACGCUGAAGCUGGACUCCACGCUCUGUGUGUUGCACAGAGAGUGUGUGCAAAGCCUGCCAAUGCAUCACACAGUCUCAGUUAUUCCUCAAUGAUUUCCCUUUACAUCAAUGGCCCCCUGGGCACGGCAGCUGUGCCUAGCUGAGCGGAACUUGGAGAGGCCUGUACCCUCUCACGCCAACUCUCCACUGCUGUCCCUGCCACCACUACCAUCUGGUCUCCUUCAGUUGUGAAAUGUGAGUCAGCAGCUGAAAACGCAACUCCGUGACUAACUGGACCCAGUGAAGUGUGAAGAUUGAAGCUGAUGCAUGAUGAGCAAGAAUUGUGUAAUGGUGCUCCCUCAGAAGAAGAAAUCAUUGGCUAUGAGUUUCAUGGACGCCCGCUGUAAAUGUGAAAGUGAUCACAAAGAGAAAAUAUAUGAAUUAGUAUCGGUAAGGAAAAUAUUCUGCAACAAAUCCUCAUUGACGAUGAUCAUAUUUCAUUCUCUCUCAAAAUCAAGCCAACAUAACUAUGUAUAAUGUCACAUGCAGUUGAUAUUCUAGUCUGUUAUCAGGCAGCUUGGAGUUGCCAAUGCCUUCCUCUCCAAAGAUAAGGGAUGUAGGUUAAAUGAAUAAAACCAUGAAUGGUGUCAGAGACUCAGGAGAGUUGUACU
This is a long non-coding RNA of Rhincodon typus (whale shark), 1451 nucleotides long. RefSeq lists it as uncharacterized. The record is from RefSeq and is a predicted model, not a curated record. NCBI's taxonomy places the organism in Eukaryota, Metazoa, Chordata, Chondrichthyes, Orectolobiformes, Rhincodontidae. The transcript is spliced from 3 exons.